AGUGAACGCUGGCGGUAGGCCUAACACAUGCAAGUCGAACGGCAGCACAGUAAGAGCUUGCUCUUACGGGUGGCGAGUGGCGGACGGGUGAGGAAUACAUCGGAAUCUACUUUUUCGUGGGGGAUAACGUAGGGAAACUUACGCUAAUACCGCAUACGACCUACGGGUGAAAGCAGGGGAUCUUCGGACCUUGCGCGAUUGAAUGAGCCGAUGUCGGAUUAGCUAGUUGGCGGGGUAAAGGCCCACCAAGGCGACGAUCCGUAGCUGGUCUGAGAGGAUGAUCAGCCACACUGGAACUGAGACACGGUCCAGACUCCUACGGGAGGCAGCAGUGGGGAAUAUUGGACAAUGGGCGCAAGCCUGAUCCAGCCAUACCGCGUGGGUGAAGAAGGCCUUCGGGUUGUAAAGCCCUUUUGUUGGGAAAGAAAAGCAGCAGGUUAAUACCCCGCUGUUCUGACGGUACCCAAAGAAAUAGCACCGGCUAACUUCGUG
This 492-nucleotide ribosomal RNA is filed under the name uncultured bacterium. RNAcentral describes it as "partial 16S ribosomal RNA". It matches the Rfam family "Bacterial small subunit ribosomal RNA", at positions 29 to 507 of the family's 1533-position model. The record is from RNAcentral.